RNAcentral lists this unclassified non-coding RNA (345 nucleotides) under soil metagenome. RNAcentral describes it as "partial contains 5.8S ribosomal RNA, internal transcribed spacer 2, and large subunit ribosomal RNA". The stretch from base 1 to 119 matches the Rfam family "5.8S ribosomal RNA", at positions 35 to 154 of the family's 154-position model. The record is from RNAcentral.
GAUGAAGAACGUAGCGAAAUGCGAUAAGUAAUGUGAAUUGCAGAAUUCAGUGAAUCAUCGAAUCUUUGAACGCACAUUGCGCCCCUUGGUAUUCCGGGGGCAUGCCUGUCCGAGCGUCAUUGCUGCCCUCAAGCACGGCUUGUGUGUUGGGCCCCGUCCUCCGAUCCCGGGGGACGGGCCCGAAAGGCAGCGGCGGCACCGCGUCCGGUCCUCGAGCGUAUGGGGCUUUGUCACCCGCUCUGUAGGCCCGGCCGGCGCUUGCCGAUCAACCCAAAUUUUUAUCCAGGUUGACCUCGGAUCAGGUAGGGAUACCCGCUGAACUUAAGCAUAUCAAUAAGCGGAGGA